RNAcentral lists this long non-coding RNA (557 nucleotides) under Capsicum annuum. RNAcentral describes it as "long non-coding RNA (CANN_LNC002937)". The record is from RNAcentral. Lineage: Eukaryota; Viridiplantae; Streptophyta; Magnoliopsida; Solanales; Solanaceae.
UUUGUGUACUUUGUUUCUUGCAAUAAUUGCAUGCCAUCAACAAUGGCGGAUCCAGGCAUCUGUUUGUGUACUUUGUUUCUUGCAAUAAUUGCAUGCCAUCAACAGUGGCGGAUCCAGGAUUUAAGGAUAGUAAGUGCUUAAAAAAUUUUUAAACUGAAAAAAAUAAAAAAUCACCUUAAUGAGGUUCGAACUGAAGGCCUCCUCCCAAUGAAGCACCUUAAGAUCAACUCAAAUGCCAAUGCACCCAACAAACUUUUGUUAUAGUGGGUGUUUUUAUAUGUUUUAUACCUAUUUUCAUAUAUUUUUCCGCGUUGAAUUUAUUGUGUGCCGGAGCACCCCAAAUUUCUACAUAGGUCCGCCACUGGCCAUCAAGUGUUAUUCACUGAAACAAGAUUUUAAUGUGCAAGUUGCAGAAACAGGCAACAGCCCUGGUAUGGGACAUUCCUCAAAAGGGCCUAAACCAACUAAUCCUAGUAAUUAUAAGCCACUAACUGGAGACACUUCCAGUACUAUUGAAGGAGAUGAUCGUCAAGUCACUCACAACAAUAAGAAUGUUG